RNAcentral lists this ribosomal RNA (325 nucleotides) under uncultured eukaryote. RNAcentral's name for it is "partial 18S ribosomal RNA". It matches the Rfam family "Eukaryotic small subunit ribosomal RNA", at positions 1470 to 1796 of the family's 1831-position model. The record is from RNAcentral.
CCCUUAGAUGUUCUGGGCCGCACGCGCGCUACACUGAUGAACGCAACGAGACGACCUGUACCGAAAGGCAUGGGUAAACUUGUGAAAGUUCAUCGUGAUGGGGAUAGAUUAUUGCAAUUAUUAAUCUUCAACGAGGAAUUCCUAGUAAGCGCGAGUCAUCAGCUCGCGUUGAUUACGUCCCUGCCCUUUGUACACACCGCCCGUCGCUCCUACCGAUUGAGUGGUCCGGUGAGGCUUUGGGAUCUGAGCGGAAAGAGCGUUUCGCUGUUUCUGCUCGGAAAACUCAGUCGAACCUUAUCAUUUAGAGGAAGGAGAAGUCGUAACA